AAGCCAACCCAAACAUCCCUUCUGCGACGGGCACAGCACAGACUGCCCGUUGUCUCGCAGAUUAUACUAUCGACAGCUUCUCUUGUUUAUAGAGUUGUUCCCUUCUCUGUAUCUCCAAUGGCGUCCGAUCUCGGAAUGAAGGAAAAGGAGGCUUUCGUCGACGAUCACUUCGAGCUGGCGGCCAACCUCUUAACGCAGGCCAUCGCCCUUAACCCCAGCAACGCCGGCUCUACGCUGAUCGUGCUCAGGCCAAUAUCAAACUGAACAAUCUAACCGAACUUGGGCCAGCUCCGUUCCCUUUCCUUUCGUCUUCUAUGCUUGUGCUCUCUUACUCACUCGCCUGGCUAGUGGCUACUCCGGCGCACAGGGAUUGGGCUAUACAUUUUUUGAAGUCUAUUUCAUCUGGGAAGAUAAAAGUAUGUAAUUUUUUGGAGGAUCAGAUAUCAGUCCAUUGCCACCAGCACCAACAGCGUCAGGGAACAAUGCGCACAUGAUGUAUGUGUUCAAUAGGAGUGGGGUGUGCUUGCUUUACAGGGAGUGGAUUCGCCCACUUCAUACCCUCAAUGCGCAGCAGGACCAUGAGCUUAUGUUUGGUCUUCUUUUUUCUCGCAAGUCGCUAACUGCCAGGAUGGAUCCCACGAGGCUUAGUUUCUAUUUGUAAUCCAACCAUAUUUCAUAUCUUGGAUGCUUUCUUUUUUGGAGUGCAGAGAAAGGAAACCUUGGAAUGCCUCAGUUGCCUGGCCAAGUUCGUUCAUUCCACAGCUUUCGCACAAAUACUUACAAACUUAGUUUCAUGGAAAGUCCUUGUGGGAUAAAGAUUAUUUUGGUUACUCAUCCCUGGACCGGUGAUCUACGUGAAUCCCUAAAGUACAUUCACAACUUGUAUGUUGAAUAUGUUGUCAAAAACCCCCUCUAUGCUCCUGGAACUCCUAUCAGGUGUGAGUUGUUCAAUACCUCUCUUGAUCAAUAUAUAAGGAGCAUAGCCUAGUUCGCGAGUAGAAUUCAGUUGCUGUAAUCUGGCUAUACACUCAAACGAAGCCUGAAAAUUUGACCCUGAAGGUCAGUGGACUUGCAUACUUCGCGGAUACAAUUUUGAAAUGUUAUGGAAUUGCAAUAGUCAAUCCUUUUCCUCUGUGCAACGAUGGAUCUACUUAACAAUAUGCUGUGCCAGCCUAUCCUUUUCUUUUGAGGACUCGAAGACGUAUGGUUCUGUUGUAUAUUCCAUCAUUAGGAUUUAAGAAAUCCCAUUUCUGUAAGAAAACAAGAUUGUGUAUCUAAAAAUGAUGGAGUUCGCAUUAUAGUCAUUCUUCUUAUAACUCCCCAUAAGAUACAGAGGCUCCAAUUUUUUUUUUCAA
RNA transcript from Hevea brasiliensis (rubber tree), 1355 nucleotides. RefSeq lists it as uncharacterized. NCBI's taxonomy places the organism in Eukaryota, Viridiplantae, Streptophyta, Magnoliopsida, Malpighiales, Euphorbiaceae. The transcript is spliced from 6 exons. The record is from RefSeq and is a predicted model, not a curated record.